Long non-coding RNA from Acomys russatus (golden spiny mouse), 469 nucleotides. RefSeq lists it as uncharacterized. NCBI's taxonomy places the organism in Eukaryota, Metazoa, Chordata, Mammalia, Rodentia, Muridae. The transcript is spliced from 3 exons. The record is from RefSeq and is a predicted model, not a curated record.
GGCACAGCUGUAGGUGACCUAGGUGAUGGCAGGGGUGAGGCACAGCUGUAGGUGACCCAGGUGACGGCAGGGGUGAGGCACAGCUGUAGGUGACCCAGGUGACGGCAGGGGUGAGGCACAGCUGUAGGUGACCCAGGUGACGGCAGGGGUGAGGCACAGCUGUAGGUGACCCAGGUGACGGCAGGAGUGAGGCACAGCUGUAGGUGACCCAGGUGACGGCAGGGGUGAGGCACAGCUGUAGGUGACCCAGGUGAUGGCAGGGGUGAGGCACAGCUGUAGGUGACCCAGGUGAUGGCAGGGGUGAGGCACAGCUGUAGGUGACCCAGGUGAUGGCAGGGGUGAGGCACAGCUGUAGGUGACCCAGGUGAUAGCAGGGGUGAGGAAGCUGGUCACACUGAGUCAGCAGUCAGGAUGCAGAAAUGGAGCACGGUGAGGUUGGAUCCACCCCAGUGACACUUCCUCCAGCACA